This 253-nucleotide ribosomal RNA is filed under the name uncultured microorganism. RNAcentral's name for it is "partial small subunit ribosomal RNA". It matches the Rfam family "Bacterial small subunit ribosomal RNA", at positions 524 to 776 of the family's 1533-position model. The record is from RNAcentral.
UACGUAGGUGGCGAGCGUUGUCCGGAUUUACUGGGCGUAAAGGAUGCGUAGGCGGAUAUGUAAGUCAGAUGUGAAAAUCCCAGGCUUAACUUGGGGACUGCAUUUGAAACUGUGUAUCUGGAGCGCAGGAGAGGAAAGUGGAAUUCCUAGUGUAGCGGUGAAAUGCGUAGAGAUUAGGAAGAACAUCAGUGGCGAAGGCGGCUUUCUGGACUGUAACUGACGCUGAUGCAUGAAAGCGUGGGGAGCAAACAGG